RNAcentral lists this small RNA (536 nucleotides) under Pan troglodytes (chimpanzee). RNAcentral's name for it is "retained intron". Lineage: Eukaryota; Metazoa; Chordata; Mammalia; Primates; Hominidae. The record is from RNAcentral.
GUUUCCAUCUUAUGUAUGAGGGGGUGUGUGGGUUCUCGGGUCGGUGGCGGGCUGACAGUCUUCUCUGGGUCAGAGGGUUCUCUGUGGCUGGCUUUGACAAGCUGCUGCUUCCUCCCUCCGGGUCCUCACCCAGCCUCUUUUUGAACUGCCCACUCAGCCUGCUUUAUUUCCAGCCUCUAGAUCUCUGUAACCCUGCCCGGACCCUCCUGCUGUCAGAGGAGCUGCUGCUGUACGAAGGGAGGAACAAGGCUGCCGAGGUGACACUGUUUGCCUAUUCGGACCUGCUGCUCUUCACCAAGGAGGACGAGCCUGGCCGCUGCGACGUCCUGAGGAACCCCCUCUACCUCCAGAGUGUGAAGCUGCAGGAAGGUUCUUCAGAAGACCUGAAAUUCUGCGUGCUCUAUCUGGCAGAGAAGGCAGAGUGCUUAUUCACUUUGGAAGCGCACUCGCAGGAGCAGAAGAAGAGAGUGUGCUGGUGCCUGUCGGAGAACAUCGCCAAGCAGCAACAGCUGGCAGCAUCACCCCCGGACAGCAAG